RNAcentral lists this ribosomal RNA (459 nucleotides) under uncultured bacterium. Its description in RNAcentral is "partial 16S ribosomal RNA". It matches the Rfam family "Bacterial small subunit ribosomal RNA", at positions 338 to 795 of the family's 1533-position model. The record is from RNAcentral.
CCUACGGGAGGCUGCAGUGAGGAAUAUUGGUCAAUGGCCGGAAGGCUGAACCAGCCAAGCCGCGUGAAGGAGGAAGGCGCAGAGCGUCGCAAACCUCUUUUGCCGGGGAACAAAAGGCCGGACUCGUCCGGUCCUGAAUGUACCCGGUGAAAAAGCAUCGGCUAACUCCGUGCCAGCAGCCGCGGUAAUACGGAGGAUGCGAGCGUUAUCCGGAUUCAUUGGGUUUAAAGGGUGCGCAGGCGGGCCUUUAAGCCGGCGGUGAAAUCGGGGGGCUCAACCCCGCAGUGCCGUCGGAACUGGGGGCCUUGAGUGCGGCGGAGGUAUGCGGAAUGCGCGGUGUAGCGGUGAAAUGCAUAGAUAUCGCGCAGAACCCCGAUUGCGAAGGCAGCUGACUAAACUGCAACUGACAUUGAUGCUCGAAAGUGUGGGUAUCAAACAGGAUUAGAUACCCUUGUAGUC